AAUCUCGAUAAGGUACCACCCAUUGAAUUACGAUGACCACUCCUCCACGCGUUACGAUUUAUUCUUGGUAGCGCCAAUCAAUUUCGGAUAUUAGGCCGUCCGUUCAACUGCAUCAUCUUCCUUCCUUAAUUUCUUCCUCAUUGAAUUCGUAUCAAUCUCUUCCUCGUUUCUCUCUCUUCAAUCUCUCAGAGAAAAAGAAAAAAAAAACUACCUACCAUCCAUCUUCUUCAAGAAAUCACCGCCAUGGUCAUACAAAUUCGGGUGCUUUUAUGCUUCAGAAAAACCGGCGCUGAAAACAUAUGUUGGAUGAAUAUCUGUCGAGUUUGGAUAUCCGUCAUAUACCAUGAACAUCAUAACAGUUGGAUCUAAAAGGUCCUGGAACCUCACCAAAAUCACCUCAACCCUAUUGGAUGAACUCUCGGGAACACACGACUCUCCAUGUCCUACCUAUGGUGAUCUUGAUAACAUGUUAGCGUCAAAUCCACAACGCUUGUUGUUUCAUCAUUAGGAGAAGAUUAUGUAUCGGUUAAUUCAAAUCCAGAAACCAAACGAAGACUUCUCUUCAGAAUGGAGCAUCAAACAUCAAGACCACCGAAUCAGAAGAAAGUCUGGGAAACAUCUAGUUACCUUAUUGAUGGAUCUUGAACAGGUUGGACAGUUGGAUGAACUCUUUGAAUGUUCAAACAACAAUGAUUACAGUGAGAAAGUAAAGCUCUAUUAGGAAUUUGAUACCGAGCUCUAAAGUAAAGCUUAUUGAUGGAUCUUGAACAGCUCAAUCUUGGUACCUCUGUAAGCACAUUCAUCACACCGCUCCAGUUCGUGCUCAAAAAAUGUAUGGUUUGCCAUUUGAUACUGAUUCCCCUGAAAAUCACAUUUGUCACAGUCUAGCAGGGCAUGCUUUACAGUGCUCACUCUUGCGUUUCGCACGUUUCCUGCAGGAAGUAAAAAGUCUCACAUUACAACGAAAAUACUAAGAAGAGUAGUUGGAGGUGUGCAUGGAAGAGACCUUCUAAAGGAGACUUGAGAAAAUGCGAUACAGGUGGGCAUCAAUUCAUAUCUUUCCCAUAUGGUAUGAUUAAUAUAAUAACAACAUAGUAGUACAAAUUUAGCAUGGUACACAAUAAAGGUAAUGAAUACACCAUGUUUGCAGCAAUAAAUUAUACUAGUCCUAUAUAUGUGUGUGAAUUGAGUGCACAGAUUCAUUGGGGCAAAAGACUUGCUCGAUACAAAUUUGUGCCGUUCUGAGGUCCAAGAACUUGUGUCAUGGGAAUCUGCUUAAUUUCCCUUUCACAGCUCAAGAUGCUCCCAUUUCAUCAAUACUAGGGGUGGUGACAAAGUGAACCAACUAUGGUCACCGGUGACAAAAACAAAAUGCAAGUUACGAUGGUGGGGGUGGGGGUAUCGUCACACCUAAAAUAAUCGCCUGCAAACAAAACUGUGUGCACGACCAGAGAAUGAAAAUGCCAUUGAUGUAGCUGGUACCACCAGCAUUCUGGAGGGCAAUGAAUACAAGUGGGCAAUACAAUUGCCGGUGAAGCUCAGUGCAACAGUUCUAGCAUCAACGUAAUAACUAGUUUAAGAAGUUACAAUAGAGUGAACUCUCGCAUCAACAUGUCGUCCAUUAGGGCAUAUCAAGAGAAAUAUUGUGCCAAUACCGUCAUCCACAUGAGUUAUGAAUCCUAUGUAGAAAUUACAAUCAAUUUGUUUAUUACCCUAGAUUUAAACUUAUCAUAAAGAAAAAAACCUAGAUUUAGACAAGUUAAACAAAGUUUUAUUUUAAAACCUAGAUUUGUCAAUACCUUGUGUCUAGCCGAUUAUUGGAGCCCUGGUCCAGUGGCCACCUUUCUCUUGCUGUCGCCUAUUGGCUUUAUCCUUCUUCAUCCUAAAUUCUUCUCCUAGUCGUUGUUCCUCCGAAUUUCUUUCAGGUAGCUUUCUUUGUCUCUUCCCUUAAGAUCAGUGGAUGACGGUAUUGGCACGAUAUUUCUCUUGAUAUGCCCUGAUGGACGACAUAUGUUGAUAUGGGCUGAUGGAUAUCCGAAACAAAGCCCAAAACUGAACGAAAAACCGACUCGGCGAAAUGCGUCUAUUUUACCGUUUAAAUUCCUCACCACCAAGUUUUGUAAAGAAAGGCCAACUUAGGGCUUUCUAUUGUGAUAGAGGGGCAUCUAACACAAAAUUAUACAGUCAUUUUGUGUAGUAAAUCAAUGAGUUUCACUUCCA
Long non-coding RNA from Papaver somniferum (opium poppy), 2220 nucleotides. RefSeq lists it as uncharacterized. NCBI's taxonomy places the organism in Eukaryota, Viridiplantae, Streptophyta, Magnoliopsida, Ranunculales, Papaveraceae. The record is from RefSeq and is a predicted model, not a curated record. The transcript is spliced from 4 exons.